RNAcentral lists this ribosomal RNA (253 nucleotides) under uncultured bacterium. RNAcentral's name for it is "partial 16S ribosomal RNA". It matches the Rfam family "Bacterial small subunit ribosomal RNA", at positions 524 to 776 of the family's 1533-position model. The record is from RNAcentral.
UACGGAGGAUGCAAGCGUUAUCCGGAAUGAUUGGGCGUAAAGCGUCCGCAGGUGGCAUUUCAAGUCUGCGGUCAAAGGUCGAGGCUCAACCUCGAAUCGGCCGUGGAAACUGAGAAGCUAGAGUGUGGUAGGGGCAGAGGGAAUUCCCAGUGUAGCGGUGAAAUGCGUAGAGAUUGGGAAGAACACCGGUGGCGAAAGCGCUCUGCUAGGCCAAGACUGACACUGAGGGACGAAAGCUAGGGGAGCGAAUGGG